UUAGAAAAAUAGAAUGUGCUAAGCAGGAAAUGAUAGUAAAUUUAAAGUUGCUUAAAGCUGUUGCUGAGUACUCUAUGCCCUACUGUCAGAAGGGUCAGAGUAUGCAGCAGUGGCAGUGACUUGGCCGGCCUGGCCUGGCUGAUGGAGGUAACAGAAGGACUAAUUUCAGGGAUUGGAUUCAGUGUUCCUUCAGAUCUCUCAGCUUAAAGAUGAUUUCUAUUUUAUUGAGAACUUCUUGAACCACACAGAUAUGGGAAGCUCAAAGUCUUAUGCGUCCACACCUGAAUUCUUAAAGGAAACAGAAGAAGAUACACCUUCAACUUUGUCUCCAUCUUCCCAAAAUUAUGCACCAGAUUCACACCCGAUUCAUCUGGAUCGUCAGACACAAGCCAUGGAGCCAGAGACAGUGGAAGAGAAGCACAAAAUAAACAUCCCUUUCAUAAAGAAACUUACAGACCUCCAAGUCUUUUUCUAUGAUGCUGACAAAAAUGCAAAUGGAUACCUGACAUUUACUGAGAUAGAAAAGGUCCUGGGAGAAGAUGCACCUCAGAAAGAGGAAUUGGAAGAAUUUGAUGAUGAUAACAAUAAGAUGUACUCCUACCUUGAAUUGAGAAAAGCCCUUGAGCUGACAGAAUAACUGAGAAGACUAAUUGCAAGGCUGAGAGAUGCACACAAUGUUCUGGAUCUUUAUUUUAUUUUACAGGAAAGAAAAUCAUGUACAGGUUUAUUUUUUAAUUGGUCAUUCUUUUGGAACAGCAAAAAUCAAUUAUAUACAGAUAAAAUGCCCCUUAUUCCAAUAGGCACACCAUAUUUACCAUAGUAGC
RNAcentral lists this long non-coding RNA (824 nucleotides) under Chrysemys picta bellii (western painted turtle). Its description in RNAcentral is "lncRNA (ENSCPBG00000024779.1)". Lineage: Eukaryota; Metazoa; Chordata; Testudines; Emydidae. The record is from RNAcentral.